RNAcentral lists this ribosomal RNA (480 nucleotides) under uncultured bacterium. RNAcentral describes it as "bacterial SSU rRNA". It matches the Rfam family "Bacterial small subunit ribosomal RNA", at positions 31 to 507 of the family's 1533-position model. The record is from RNAcentral.
GAUAGAACGCUAGCGGACAGGCUUAAUACAUGCAAGGUCGAGGGGCAUCAAGGUACACGAAAGUGUAUUGUUGGCGACCGGCGGACGGGUGAGUAAUAGGUAGGUAACCUACCUCAUACUGAGGCAUAGCUGGGAGAAAUUCCAGGUAAUUCCUCAUGAGGUUAUAUGACACAUGUGAUAUAAUCAAAGGUAUCGCAAGGUACUGGUAUGAGAUGGGCUUACUGACCAUUAGCUAGUUGGUGAGAUAAGAGCUCACCAAGGCGAAGAUGGUUAGGGGUUUUGAGAGAGAGAUCCCCCACAUUGGAACUGAGAUACGGUCCAGACUCCUACGGGAGGCAGCAGUAGGGAAUAUUGGGCAAUGGGCGGAAGCCUGACCCAGCCAUGCCGCGUGAGGGAAGAAGGCCUUCGGGUUGUAAACCUCUGUCAUGGGGGAAGAAGUAAGUGACGGUACCCCAAGAGGAAGCCCCUGCUAACUACGUG